RNAcentral lists this ribosomal RNA (209 nucleotides) under uncultured eukaryote. RNAcentral describes it as "partial 18S ribosomal RNA". It matches the Rfam family "Eukaryotic small subunit ribosomal RNA", at positions 604 to 819 of the family's 1831-position model. The record is from RNAcentral.
UUAAAGUUGUUGCAGUUAAAACGCUCGUAGUCGAACUUCGGGCCUGGCGGGAUGGUCCGCCUUACGGUGUGCACUGUCUUGCUGGAUCUUACCUCUUGGUGAAGCCUUAUGCCCUUUACUGGGUGUAGGGUCGAACCAGGAAUUUUACUUUGAGAAAAUUAGAGUGUUCAAAGCAGGCAUUUGCCCGAAUACAUUAGCAUGGAAUAAUA